GUAAGCCGCCAGCUGCCUGGGCGCGCAGGGAGCAAGGCUGGCAGGAYGYGGGCAUGCCGGGGUGCUGGGCUGAGCCGAGCAGCUGGCUGCAAAGGGCAUCUCCUCCUGGAGACGCCAGGAGAGCUGGGGGGAGCUGCGACACAUUUGCCAGGAGGCAUCUGGAGGCAGCCCAUGGGCAGCUGGGUCAGGGACAAGAAGCCUUGCGAGGCCUCAGCAAGGCCAUGCUGCCUGCUGCUAGUGUUUUCCUGCCUGCUCCAGCGGUUCGGGAUACACGUGGCACUUGCAGAGCAUAGGAUAGGCAAGAGCCAUGCUUGGCAGCAGCAGCACUCAGUCAGUCUCUCCUCUUCUCCCAUCUUCCUCCUUGUCCUUGGGUCACAGCAGAAGGGCAGCCCAGCGAGCCAAGCUGCGACGAGGUUAUCGAUGCGGCCCGACAGAUACAUCUGCAACAAAAGGAAAAGGCUGAGCUCUUCUGCCUGCCCUGCGCGGAGGAUGUGGAAGACGAAGAGCAGGAAGAGGCAGCGGAGGCAGAGGAGCCAAGGGAGCCUGCUCGGGGCCGUUCUGCUGGAGCUCUUGCGGGAGGG
RNAcentral lists this long non-coding RNA (581 nucleotides) under Apteryx rowi (Okarito brown kiwi). RNAcentral's name for it is "lncRNA (ENSARWG00000000850.1)". The record is from RNAcentral. Lineage: Eukaryota; Metazoa; Chordata; Aves; Apterygiformes; Apterygidae.